CAUGCCUGUUCGAGCGUCAUUAUAACCAAUCAAGCCUGGCUUGGUAUUGGGGUUCGCGGUCCCGCGGCCCUUAAAAUCAGUGGCGGUGCGUCCGGCUCUAAGCGUAGUAAUUUUCUCGCUAUGGUGUCCGGGUAGUUACCUGCCAGAAUCCCCAUUUCACGGUUGACCUCGGAUCAGGUAGGGAUACCCGCUGAACUUAA
RNAcentral lists this unclassified non-coding RNA (200 nucleotides) under soil metagenome. Its description in RNAcentral is "partial contains internal transcribed spacer 2 and large subunit ribosomal RNA". The record is from RNAcentral.